This 778-nucleotide non-coding RNA is filed under the name Clanis bilineata. The record is from RNAcentral. Lineage: Eukaryota; Metazoa; Arthropoda; Insecta; Lepidoptera; Sphingidae.
AAAUAAAUUUUUUAUGGUUUAUAUAAUUUAUUUUGAGUUUGUUUUACAUAUAAAUUUUAGUGUUAAUUAUUAAUUAUUUAGAUAAUAAUUAAUUUUUUGGUAGUAAUUAAUUUUAAAAAUUUAAGAAAUUAAGAUUUAGUAAUAUUAGAAUUAAUAACUAAUUUUGUGCCAGCAGUUGCGGUUAUACAAAAAUUGAUUUAAAUUUUUUUUGUAAUUAAUAAAUAAUUUUUAAUAUAAUUUAAAAUUUAAAUUAUAAGGUGAAAUUUUAAUUUAAUAAAAAAUUAUUAUAAAAUUAUGAAUUAAUAAAUUUAAUUAAAAACUAGGAUUAGAUACCCUAUUAUGAAAAAUUUAAAUUAAUAAUACUUAAAUAGUAAAUAAUUAUUUAUUGAAACUUAAAUAAUUUGGCGGUAUUUUAGUUUAUUUAGAGGAAUCUGUUUAAUAAUUGAUAAUCCACGAAUGAAUUUACUUAAUUUAUUAAUUUUGUAUAUCGUUGUUAAAAAAAUAUUUUUUAAUAAAAAUAAUAUUUAAAAAUUUAAAAUUAAAAAUUAAAUCAGAUCAAGAUGCAGAUUAUAAUUAAGAAUAUAAUGGAUUACAAUAAAUUUAUUUAAAUUGGAUUUUAAUUUGGAAUAAUUAAAUAAAAUUGGAUUUAAAUGUAAUUUUAUUUAAAUUAUUAAAAUGAUUUAAAAUUAAAAUAUGUACAUAUUGCCCGUCGCUUUCAUUAAUAAAUUGAAAUAAGUCGUAACAAAGUAGAGGUACUGGAAAGUGUUUCUAGAAAGAU